CCUUUGUACACACCGCCCGUCGCUACUACCGAUUGAAUGGCUCAGUGAGGCUUUCGGACUGGCCUAAGGGAGUCGGCAACGACACCCUAGGGCCGGAAAGUUAUCCAAACUCGGUCAUUUAGAGG
This 125-nucleotide ribosomal RNA is filed under the name Xylariales sp. RNAcentral describes it as "partial small subunit ribosomal RNA". It matches the Rfam family "Eukaryotic small subunit ribosomal RNA", at positions 1657 to 1779 of the family's 1831-position model. Lineage: Eukaryota; Fungi; Ascomycota; Sordariomycetes; Xylariales. The record is from RNAcentral.